This 1922-nucleotide ribosomal RNA is filed under the name human gut metagenome. RNAcentral's name for it is "bacterial LSU rRNA". It matches the Rfam family "Bacterial large subunit ribosomal RNA", at positions 3 to 1973 of the family's 2925-position model. The record is from RNAcentral.
UCAAGCGACUAAGUGUAUGUGGUGGAUGCCUUGGCGAUUACAGGCGAAGAAGGACGUCGCAGCCUGCGAAAAGCCGUGGGGAGCUGGCAAGCGAGCACUGAUCCACGGAUGUCCGAAUGAGGGAACUCACCCGCAAGGGUAUCUUGAAGUGAAUACAUAGCUUCAAGAGGCGAACGCAGCGAACUGAAACAUCUAAGUAGCUGCAGGAAAAGAAAUCAACCGAGAUUCUGAAAGUAGCGGCGAGCGAAAUUGGAAGAGCCUGCAAGUGAUAUUGAAUUCGAUACUGGAACGGUCUGGAAAGUCCGGCUACAGAGGGUGACAGCCCCGUACGGGAAAUUGGGUUCAAGGUACUGAGCUUGCGAGAAGUAGAGCGGGACACGUGAAAUCCUGCUCGAAGAUGGGGGGACCAUCCUCCAAGGCUAAAUACUCGUAAUCGACCGAUAGCGAACCAGUACUGUGAAGGAAAGGCGAAAAGAACCCCGGGAGGGGAGUGAAAUAGAUCCUGAAACCGCAUACAUACAAACAGUAGGAGCCCGCAAGGGUGACUGCGUACCUUUUGCAUAAUGGGUCAGCGACUUACGUUCAAUGGCAAGCUUAACCGAGUAGGGGAGGCGCAGCGAAAGCGAGUCCGAACAGGGCGACAUGAGUCGUUGGGCGUAGACCCGAAACCAGAUGAUCUAUCCAUGGCCAGGCUGAAGGUGUGGUAACACACACUGGAGGGCCGAACCGACUAGUGUUGCAAAAUUAGCGGAUGAGCUGUGGAUAGGGGUGAAAGGCUAAACAAAUCUGGAGAUAGCUGGUUCUCCCCGAAAACUAUUGAGGUAGUGCCUCGUGUAUGGCUCCAGGGGGUAGAGCACUGUUAUGGCUAGGGGGACAUGGCGUCUUACCAAACCAUGGCAAACUCCGAAUACUUGGAAGUCUGAGCACGGGAGACAGAGCACCGGGUGCUAACGUCCGGACUCAAAAGGGAAACAACCCAGACCGCCGGCUAAGGUCCCUAAUAUUGACUAAGUGGAAAACGAAGUGGGAAGGCUAAGACAGUCAGGAAGUUGGCUUAGAAGCAGCCAUCCUUCAAAGAAAGCGUAAUAGCUCACUGAUCGAGUCUUCCUGCGCGGAAGAUGUAACGGGGCUAAGUCAAUAACCGAAGCCGCGGAUUCGCAGCAAUGCGAGUGGUAGGGGAGCGUUCUGUAAGCCUGCGAAGGCGGAUCUGCGAGGACCGCUGGAGGUAUCAGAAGUGCGAAUGCUGACAUGAGUAACGUUAAAGCGGGUGAAAAGCCCGCUCGCCGCAAGCCCAAGGUUUCCUGCUCUACGUUCAUCGGAGCAGGGUGAGUCGGCCCCUAAGGUCAGGCUGAGAAGCGUAGCUGAUGGGAAGCUGGUUAAUAUUCCAGCACCGAUUUCAAGUGCGAAGGGGGGACGGAGUCCUGAAGGUCAUCCGGGUGUUGGAUAUCCCGGUUUACGAGCGUAGGAGGUUGACAGGCAAAUCCGUCAACGGAUCUCCAAGGCGAAGGAUCGAGGUUGAGAGAUCAACUGAAGUGACUGAAUGGGCUUCCAGGAAAAGCCUCUAAGCAUCAGCUUGGAAUUGACCGUACCGCAAACCGACACUGGUGGGCGAGCUGAAUAUGCUCAGGCGCUUGAGAGAACUCAGGAGAAGGAACUCGGCAAAUUGACACCGUAACUUCGGGAUAAGGUGUGCCUUUGUAGUGUGAAGAGAGAAACACUCCGAGCAUGAAGAGGCCUCAGAGAAUCGGUGGCUGCAACUGUUUACUAAAAACACAGCACUCUGCAAAGAUGAAAGUCGACGUAUAGGGUGUGAUGCCUGCCCGGUGCUGGAAGAUUAAUUGAUGGGGUGCAAGCUCCUGAUCGAAGUCCCAGUAAACGGCGGCCGUAACUAUAACGGUCCUAAGGUAGCGAAAUUCCUUGUC